AUCAAUUUACCAUGGUUGUGUAAACAAUGAAGCAAACAUGUAGAUACUUGGAAACAUGCCAUACACGAUACCGAAGCACAUAUAUAUGGUACUAAAUGGAAGGAAGCACAUACAUAAGCAGUACGGAAAUUAAUACAUAGGCUCUGAAGCAUUGCGUUUGUGACAAUGAAGCACAAUACUAUAUGUAGAGCCAGUGACGUCGAGAAAUUGGAGGCGUCGGAGGAACGAGAGAUGAUGCCAAGACGAAUAAAAGGCAUUGUGUCGUUUAGGAGCACCAUUGAAGCACCAGCGCCAAAGAAGAGGACAACACGAUCGCAAUAUGAUUGUGCCGCCUGUCUAUCACAUUACAUGUCCCCAUUCCCAUUGACGUCCUUGUCAUCACCGCCACCAGCCAC
Molecule: long non-coding RNA, 395 nt
Filed under: Hordeum vulgare
Lineage: Eukaryota; Viridiplantae; Streptophyta; Magnoliopsida; Poales; Poaceae
Description: long non-coding RNA (HVUL_LNC013686)
Source: RNAcentral